GGGGGAUAUUGCACAAUGGGGGAAACCCUGAUGCAGCGACGCCGCGUGGAGGAAGAAGGUUUUCGGAUUGUAAACUCCUGUCGUUAGGGACGAUAAUGACGGUACCUAACAAGAAAGCACCGGCUAACUACGUGCCAGCAGCCGCGGUAAAACGUAGGGUGCAAGCGUUGUCCGGAAUUACUGGGUGUAAAGGGAGCGCAGGCGGGGAGACAAGUUGGAAGUGAAAUCCAUGGGCUCAACCCAUGAACUGCUUUCAAAACUGUUUUUCUUGAGUAGUGCAGAGGUAGGCGGAAUUCCCGGUGUAGCGGUGGAAUGCGUAGAUAUCGGGAGGAACACCAGUGGCGAAGGCGGCCUACUGGGCACCAACUGACGCUGAGGCUCGAAAGUGUGGGUAGCAAACAGGAUUAGAUACCCUGGUAGUCCACACCGUAAACGAUGAUUACUAGGUGUUGGAGGAUUGACCCCUUCAGUGCCGCAGUUAACACAAUAAGUAAUCCACCUGGGGAGUACGACCGCAAGGUUGAAACUCAAAGGAAUUGACGGGGGCCCGCACAAGCAGUGGAGUAUGUGGUUUAAUUCGACGCAACGCGAAGAACCUUACCAAGUCUUGACAUCCUGUGACAGACGUAGAAAUACGUUCUUCCUUCGGGACACAGAGACAGGUGGUGCAUGGUUGUCGUCAGCUCGUGUCGUGAGAUGUUGGGUUAAGUCCCGCAACGAGCGCAACCCUUAUGGUCAGUUACUACGCAAGAGGACUCUGGCCAGACUGCCGUUGACAAAACGGAGGAAGGUGGGGAUGACGUCAAAUCAUCAUGCCCUUUAUGACUUGGGCUACACACGUACUACAAUGGCGUUAAACAAAGAGAAGCAAGACCGCGAGGUGGAGCAAAACUCAGAAACAACGUCCCAGUUCGGACUGCAGGCUGCAACUCGCCUGCACGAGGUCGGAAUUGCUAGUAAUCGUGGAUCAGCAUGCCACGGUGAAUACGUUCCCG
Molecule: ribosomal RNA, 995 nt
Filed under: uncultured bacterium
Lineage: Bacteria
Description: bacterial SSU rRNA
Rfam family: Bacterial small subunit ribosomal RNA
Source: RNAcentral